Long non-coding RNA from Cygnus olor (mute swan), 3630 nucleotides. RefSeq lists it as uncharacterized. The record is from RefSeq and is a predicted model, not a curated record. Lineage: Eukaryota; Metazoa; Chordata; Aves; Anseriformes; Anatidae. The transcript is spliced from 8 exons.
CAUGCUCUCUCUCUCUCUCCCCCUUCACUUUCUCUCUCCCUCUUUCUUCUCCUCCCUCCCUCCCUCCACCCCUCCCCCUGCACGCACAGCCCUCCGCCGAAGCGCAGCGAUAACAAUACCGAGCAGCCUCUGCCUGCCGUCACUGAGCAAAGUUGUUUUGUGUCCAUGCACCAGAGCUCCCAGCCUGGGACAUAAUAAGGGGAGGAUCUGGCCCCCAGACAAUCUCAUGAAGUAUCGAUUUUAAAUGAAAAUAACGCAAAACGCCAUGCUUGGGCUUUGCCAGAAAACACCGGAUUUGCUUUUAUGUUUUGUCGGGGACAGGCCGGUUGUAGCCCAUGAAAUUGUAGUAGAGCCGAGUUGCGACGAGCAAUAAAUGAUGGAAACGAAGCCUGGUAUGAGGUUCUGGAUUAAAAUUCAGCCUGGGCCUGGGGGAAAGUGAGCCGGAACAAUGCUGCUGGUGCUUGUAUCUGUUACGAGGAUGAGUUUCCCAAGUUGGCACCUGCCAGAGCGUGUGCUCUAUCAGGUCUAAGGCCUUACCCCGAGAUUUUGCUUGUGCCUGCUUAUGAAAUGUUGACUUUCCCCAAGUAACAGACUUCUAUUUGUAUUUUCUGGUAGGUAGACCUAAUAGUAACAUUUGUUAAUUACUCUGUUUUGAGCAUUUUUUCAGUCUUACAAGUGCUCUACAAAAUGCAAAGCAUACAACAUAAACACCUCCAUAAACCAACUGUCCAACGAGAGUAAUUACCUACUACAUAAAGGAGCCUAGCCCUCAUAUUCCCUCAACCCAUCCAUCCCUACAGGCCUGAGAAAAAAUAAAAGGCUCUGCAGCACAUCUGGAAGGUUACCAGAUCUAAGCUCUGGCUGAUGCCUCUUAACGGUUCUGCUGCUGCCUUUAAAUCACUUAGCAGAAAUGGUAACGCUGGCAGAAAAAUUGCUCUCACCAACACUGUUUUACUGAAUCUUUUAGUCUUGAACAUGUUUCUAUCAAGCAGGUGGCUUCCCUCAUUUACACAGCUGUAACCAAAAGUGCCCUCCGGCUCAUGGAGUUUCCCAGUUCUGGGUGCUGUGAUCAAGAGAAACUAAUAGAGCAGGGGUGGCUUAUACUUUUUGAGGCAGAAUUUCUGCGCUGAAUCUUUUUGUGGGUGAGAGGCAUAUGUCUGGGAGAGCGCAGCAGAGGAGAAACUUGGGAGUUGCUCACAGACAUGGAUGGCUCCUCGGGGCUUCUGCUAUUGAUCUGUAGGAUGAGCCCCAGAAAACAGUUUCUUACAGAAAUAAUCUAACAAUAAUUUGGCAUAGCUGGAGAUUCGGAGUUAGAACUGAUACUAGGUUGAGAUCAUCAGCCCUUUUUGCAUAUAUCAUGCAAAAGUCAUCAAACGGUGACAAUUUCUGGCCAAUAUUCAAACAAGUGAUUUAGAGCUCGAAGGGUUUAUCUCAUAACUCAGCCACAGAUUGCAUUUAUGAGUGUAUUCUAAGUAGUAUAAGAAUAAUGGACAUAAGUUAAUGUUCAACCUAGGAGAUCUCAAGGGCUUCCAGAAAAAACUUGUUAAAAUUCCAUGAUUAAGUUGAAGAGAGGAUUAGGGUAAUUCCCAUGUUAGUCAUGGAGUUGAGUCUCUCUUUCAACUUGUCCAAAUUAAUUUUCAUUCCUAGGGUUCAUAAAAAUUCCGUAAAAAAUGAAUGUUUUCAAUUUGGAACAUACUAGUGUGCUCACAGCUUCAAAUAUUUUGAAAAAUAAAAGAACUUUUCCCGUGUGGGCCUAUCCUUAUGUUUAAUCUGGCAGGUACUGCCACUACCACUGUCCUCGAUUCAAAUUAUGCAAAUAAAGCACUUUACUUACAAUUUAGGCCUUGAUCUGACAAACAUUUAUACACGAGAUCUCAGCAAAUUCAGUCACACUACACACUGCAUACCACUGUUCAUAUGCCUGAAUAUUUACAAGAUGGAGGCCAUACUCCAUUAUUUAGAAUUAAUAAUGGAGGGAUAAAGAUAAUGAGCAAAAGUACUUAAGGGCAUAUUAGUUUACCCGCUUUUAUUGCUUUCUUCAUUACAUCUCACGAAAUAUCUGUCUUUGAUAAACAAAACCAAAACACCUAAUUAAUAGUUUCUUCAUUCCCUGCAAUCUCCUUUUCUUUCCGAGGACAUUCAAUUCUUAAUAAGGAGUUUUAUCACAGUAAUGGCAAAAAUAGUAUUUUUUUUCUACUCCACACAUCCAAAAUUCUUAAGGGUGGAGAUUUUUUGAAUUAUAAGAUUAUUAAUCAUUGGCAACACUUGAAAAUAAUUGUUUUAGGAAGUACACAAUCAUGCAUAGCUAGGGAGAAUGCAGUUUUGUGUAGAUAGUGUCAAGUGGGAAAGAAAAACUGAAUGGUGUAGAUGGCAAAACAGCUUAAAUAUUUUUCAAAUUGGGGUAAUAAAAGCCUUGUUGUUAGUGCUGCUUUCUCAUACUUCAGUAAGAAUAAUAUGACCCUUUGAAUUAUGCACUCAGGGUGCUUUUCUAAAUUCACAAUUUCAUGUUGAUCACCUAUAAGAACUGAAAAUAAAAAUUCUAAUUGUUCUUUUAUUUAGGCAAGUAGUCUUCAGGAAAAAAAAAAGAAAAAAGAAAGUCCUAGGAGUAGGUAAUAUUUACUUGACUGUGUCUUGUAAUUUAUUACAGAACUUAACCAAUUUACCCUCAUUGGCUUUCCUGGCACUAUCAUUACCUAACAUGCAAGUUUCUCCAGUCUGUUUCUUACAUCGAGACAAUGCAAGACAUGCUCCAGUUCUGGCAGUCUUCCACUUCCAUCCCACACUGAUCACUUUACAUCUCUCUGUAUUCUCUCCUCACACUGAUUUGGAGUCAUCAUGACCAGACUGCCUCUACAACUGGUGUAACAGGUAGCUCUCCUCCACUGAGAUGCAAACAGAUCUUCAUGUGAAAAGAAAGAAGGAAAGAUCUGCUUUGGGGACUGUUGAAGUUACAGUAACAGAGGGCCAUGAAGGGACAGCUGAGAAGCAAAUAGUUUCUUAUGCCAAGACCAAGGAACCAAAACAGAACAUUCUGACUCCUUGCAAAGCCAGAAUGAAGAAAAUGAAAGGAAAAAUGUUGUAAAUGGACAUCUUCAGCAAAAGGAUGAGUAGCAUGGGCUCGAGUUCUACUGCCAUCAGUGUAAGGAACACCGUUUCAGAAAGAACUGUAAAAACUGAAUUGUGUAGACACUCUAUUACUCUGAGGAAAAAAAAAAAAAAAAAAGUUUGCAUUUGGAGAUCAGCAUAGGAAGCCACUGUCUUUAUACAUGGCUUAGCAUCAGUGUUGCUGAAGGCAAUGGGAAACAGAAGCCAUUUUGAAAGAGCACUAGUCUUUGUGUUUUGCUGGAAAAAAUGUGUGCACCAGCUUCUAAUGAAAAUAAGUUUCAUCCCUGUGUUUUUAUUGUUAUUUUCAAAGGCAAACCAUGUGCUUACUUUACUACAUCUAUUCUAAACAGAGGCAAGGAGGGUGGGAUAAAGAAGGGUGAGUAUGUGAGUGUGCAUUUAAAUGGAGAAUUGCACAGGAGAACAAGUGUCGGCUGUAUGGUCCUGCAGUGGAGAUCAGGGAGCUGUGGGGAAGCCCAGGGUGGACACCUCAACCACGUGGGCUCCUGUGCCACUACAAAGAGAAAG